Molecule: transfer RNA, 71 nt
Filed under: Paraflavitalea soli
Lineage: Bacteria; Pseudomonadati; Bacteroidota; Chitinophagia; Chitinophagales; Chitinophagaceae
Rfam family: tRNA
About the family: Transfer RNA (tRNA) molecules are approximately 80 nucleotides in length. Their secondary structure includes four short double-helical elements and three loops (D, anti-codon, and T loops).
Source: Rfam by way of RNAcentral
CGGCUUAUAGUUCAAAGGAAGAACAGUACGCUACGAACGUACAGAUAGAAGUUCGAAUCUUCUUAAGCCGU